UACGUAGGGGGCAAGCGUUAUCCGGAAUUAUUGGGCGUAAAGAGUACGUAGGCGGUCUUUUAAGCGCAGGGUAUAAGGCUACGGCUUAACCGUAGUUCGCCCUGUGAACUGGAGGACUUGAGUAUCGGAGAGGAAAGCGGAAUUCCUAGUGUAGCGGUGAAAUGCGUAGAUAUUAGGAGGAACACCAGUGGCGAAGGCGGCUUUCUGGACGAACACUGACGCUGAGGUACGAAAGCGUGGGGAGCAAACAGG
This 252-nucleotide ribosomal RNA is filed under the name uncultured Mogibacterium sp. RNAcentral's name for it is "partial 16S ribosomal RNA". It matches the Rfam family "Bacterial small subunit ribosomal RNA", at positions 524 to 776 of the family's 1533-position model. The record is from RNAcentral. Lineage: Bacteria; Bacillati; Bacillota; Clostridia; Peptostreptococcales; Anaerovoracaceae.